CCUGGGCCUUAAAUAUGAUGACUCAGCAUAAAUUCACAGUUUACAGUAUGCAUAGUUUACUUAAAGUCCUGGAUACAAAAUUAAUUCAUAAUAUUUGCAUAUUUGUAAGUUAAAUUGUUAAGAAGUGCUUAUAUUUACUCUUCGCAGUCAUUGAAACUCAUAGAUCCUUCCUGAAUAUUAUUUAUGGGGUAUUUGUGUCCUUUCGAUAACCCAAAAGUAAGCCGCAACACCUAAAUCUGCUUUUUUGUCACCACGGCAUAAUAAAUACAAGCUAG
RNAcentral lists this long non-coding RNA (275 nucleotides) under Mytilus galloprovincialis (Mediterranean mussel). The record is from RNAcentral. Lineage: Eukaryota; Metazoa; Mollusca; Bivalvia; Mytilida; Mytilidae.